CCAGACUCCUACGGGAGGCAGCAGUGGGGAAUAUUGCACAAUGGGGGGAACCCUGAUGCAGCGACGCCGCGUGGGCGAGGAAGUAUUUCGGUAUGUAAAGCCCUAUCGGCAGGGAAGAAGAAAUGACGGUACCUGAAUAAGAAGCACCGGCUAAAUACGUGCCAGCAGCCGCGGUAAUACGUAUGGUGCAAGCGUUAUCCGGAUUUACUGGGUGUAAAGGGAGCGUAGACGGCAGUGCAAGUCUGGAGUGAAAGGCGGGGGCUCAACCCCCGGACUGCUCUGGAAACUGUACGGCUGGAGUGCAGGAGAGGUAAGUGGAAUUCCUAGUGUAGCGGUGAAAUGCGUAGAUAUUAGGAGGAACACCAGUGGCGAAGGCGGCUUACUGGACUGUAACUGACGUUGAGGCUCGAAAGCGUGGGGAGCAAACAGGAUUAGAUACCCCGGUAA
Molecule: ribosomal RNA, 447 nt
Filed under: uncultured bacterium
Lineage: Bacteria
Description: bacterial SSU rRNA
Rfam family: Bacterial small subunit ribosomal RNA
Source: RNAcentral